UCUAAGCACAUGCCUUAAUACGGUGAAGCCGCGAAUAGCUCAUUACAACAGCCAUCGUGUACUAGAAUAUCGUUAUCCUACUCGGAUAACUGUGGCAAUUCUAGAGCUAAUACAUGCUUAAAAGCUCCGCCCGCAAGGAACGAGCGCAUUUAUUAGAAUAAAAACCAAUCGGGCUUCGGCCCGCUCUUUGGUGAAUCUGAAUAACUUUGCCAAUCGCACAGUCCUAGUACUGGCGAUGUAUCUUUCAAGUGUCUGCCUUAUCAACUUUCGAUGGUAGGUUAUACGCCUACCAUGGUAGUAACGGGUAACGGAGAAUAAGGGUUCGACUCCGGAGAGGGAGCCUGAGAAACGGCUACCACAUCCAAGGAAGGCAGCAGGCGCGCAAAUUACCCACUUCCAGAACGGAGAGGUAGUGACGAAAAAUAACGAGACAGUCCUCUUCGAGGUCUGUCAUCGGAAUGGGUACAAUUUAAA
Molecule: ribosomal RNA, 474 nt
Filed under: unidentified nematode Sourhope farm
Lineage: Eukaryota; Metazoa; Nematoda
Description: SSU rRNA
Rfam family: Eukaryotic small subunit ribosomal RNA
Source: RNAcentral